UAUGUCAAUUUCAUUUUCAACUCUAGAAUUUCCUCUUGAUUCUUUUUAAUUAUUUCUAUUUCCUUGUUACAUUCAUCUGAUAGGAAAUCUGAAUUCCUUCUCUGUGUCAUCUUGAAUUGCUUUGAGUUUCCUCAAUACAGCUCUUUCAAAUUGUCUGCCUGAAAGGUUGCCUAUUUUUGUUUCUCCGUGAUUGGUCCCUGGUGCCUUAUUCAGUUUGGUGAGGUCAUGUUUUCCUGCGUGGUGUUGAUGCUUAUGGAUAUUCAUCAGUGUCUGAGCAGUGAAGAGUUAGGCAUUUAUUGUAGUCUUCACAGUCUGGGCUUAUUUGUGCCUGUGAUUCUUGGGAAGGCUUUUCAGGUAUUCAAAGGGACUUGAACCCCGAACCCAAUAAAACUGUAGUUCUGCGGACUCGUAAAGGUACCACCUUAGUGGUCUUGGAGAAGAUCCAGAAGAAUUCUCUGCAUUACCAGGCAGAGAUUCUUGUUCUUUUCCCUUGCUUUCUUCCAAACAAAUGGAGUCUCUCUCUCUCUCUCUCCAAGCUAGGCCUCUUGGAACUGGGGGUGGAAGGACACAAGAACCCCUGUGGCCAUCACCACUGGGACUGCACUGGUUCAGACCUGAAGCAGCCCAGCACUGGGUCUCACCUAAGGUCUGCUAGAACUGCUACCUGGCCAUCACCUGAAUUCACUCAAGGGCCUGGGACUCUACAAUCAGCAGGUGGCAAAACCAGCCAGGGUGUUGUCCCUCCCUUCAGGGCAGUGAGUUCCCUGGGAAGGUCCAGAGAUGCUGUCUGGGAGCCAGGGAUUGAUAAACCUUAGAAUUCUAUUCUAAGAUAGAAUAGAAUUCUAUAGAUGUAUCAUUCCACUGCAGGUAAGCUGGCACUCAAACCACAAGACAAAGUCCUUCCCACUCUUCACUCCCCUUUCCUCAGUCAGAGGAACCUCUCCUUGUGGCCACCACUUCCACCAGCCUGCAAGGAGUUCUCCCAGGCCACUGCUGAUGUUCACAAAAACCCCGAGGGCUCUUCAGGCAGCCUGCGAUGAAUGCUAUCAGGCCUGUGACUCAUCCUUCAGGCAGUGGGCUCCCCUUGGCCCAGGGCAGGUCCGCAAAUGCUGACCAACAGCCUAGGCCUGUACUCAGGGACCCCAAGAGCCUGCUUGGUGCUCUACCCCACUGUGGCUGAGCUGGUACCUAAGGGGCAAGACAAAGUCCCCUUUACUCUUCCUCCUGCUUUUCUCAAACAGAAGGCAUCUUUCACUGUAGCCACCACAGCCGGAAAUGUGCUGGAUCACACCUGAAGCCAGCAUGUCUCAGAGCCCAGUGCCCACAGGUGGAUGGGAAGUAGGAUUUAGUGUCCACUGGUUGUGAGCCCAGCUCGGCACUCGGGUUUGCCUGUGAAUUGCAGUCCUGAUGGCCUAAACUGCCCCUCAAGUCUGCUAAGGGCCCCAGAGCACUCCAGCUCGCAGUGGCAAGGCUUGCCAGAACUCAAGCUCCAACUGCUAAGAUGGGCAAUUCCGGCAUUUUGUUGUCUGAAGUUUGUUAUUUCUCUGGAAGAGAUCAUGGGAAUAAUAGCACCUGAGGUCUUCUGUCACAGCAUGGCACGUCAGGGUCUUCUCUACCCAAAUAAUGUUCUUUGUUGGUGUAUAGAACUGCUACUAGCCUGG
Molecule: long non-coding RNA, 1661 nt
Filed under: Homo sapiens (human)
Lineage: Eukaryota; Metazoa; Chordata; Mammalia; Primates; Hominidae
Description: HSALNT0371002
Source: RNAcentral